GACGAACGCUGGCGGCGUGCUUAACACAUGCAAGUCGAACGGAAAGGCCCUGCUUUUGUGGGGUGCUCGAGUGGCGAACGGGUGAGUAACACGUGAGUAACCUGCCCUUGACUUUGGGAUAACUUCAGGAAACUGGGGCUAAUACCGGAUAGGAGCUCCUGCUGCAUGGUGGGGGUUGGAAAGUUUCGGCGGUUGGUGAUGGACUCGCGGCUUAUCAGCUUGUUGGUGGGGUAGUGGCUUACCAAGGCUUUGACGGGUAGCCGGCCUGAGAGGGUGACCGGCCACAUUGGGACUGAGAUACGGCCCAGACUCCUUCGGGAGGCAGCAGUGGGGAAUAUUGCACAAUGGGCGGAAGCCUGAUGCAGCAACGCCGCGUGCGGGAUGACGGCCUUCGGGUUGUAAACCGCUGUCGCCUGUGACGAAGCGUGAGUGACGGUAAUGGGUAAAGAAGCACCGGCUAACUACGUG
This 468-nucleotide ribosomal RNA is filed under the name uncultured bacterium. Its description in RNAcentral is "partial 16S ribosomal RNA". It matches the Rfam family "Bacterial small subunit ribosomal RNA", at positions 28 to 507 of the family's 1533-position model. The record is from RNAcentral.